This is a long non-coding RNA of Passer domesticus (house sparrow), 477 nucleotides long. RefSeq lists it as uncharacterized. The transcript is spliced from 3 exons. Lineage: Eukaryota; Metazoa; Chordata; Aves; Passeriformes; Passeridae. The record is from RefSeq and is a predicted model, not a curated record.
AUGGAGAUGAAGCAGGAGGGUAUUUUACAACCUAUCAAGGGAGGAACAAUCUGCUAACAGGAAGGACAGAGUGAAUUUUCAGAAAAGCAUUCAAACAUGCCAAGUUCCUGUUUUAUACCCUUACUGCCAGGAUGGAACUACUUCUUCAAGGAGCAACUGCAAGCACUGACAGGAGAAAAGGGAGCACAGCCUCCAAGUUUCUUCAGCUUUGCACAGACAGCAGCUGGGUUUUGCAGAAGCAGUAAAUCCACCAGCACACACUGACACAAUCAGUCUGUGCAGGAAUAUUAAACUAAGUUUCAUUCCUCGGUCACAAUUCACCAGGACCCUAAUCUCCACUGUCUCUAGUUGUAGGACUUAGUCCUUUCUACAUUAGUAUUACAUCAUAAUUAAUUUUAUGGAAGAAGACACUACUGUCAUCACAGGUCUUGUUAAGGAAAGGAAAAGCAAGCAUGAAAUCAUGGAAAUCAAUGCCUA